UUCUAGAUUGGUCAAGUUCAGGCCAUGAGUCAACUUCCACUUCAGGCUUGCUAGUGUUCCAAUUUCCCUAAACGAUAUUAUAUAGUUGAUACAAACCUCUCAGGGAUAUUGGCAACAUCUUAAUAAUAUGAAUAUGUUCAAAAUUCCCUAAAGCGAUACUAACCUCUCACAGAUAUGGGCAACAUCUUAAUAAUAUAAAUGUGUUCCAAUUUCCCUAAACAACAUUACGUAGUCGGUCCAGCUGCCUCUUCUCCUCGGCGAUCACCAGUGCCUCGGCCAGCCGGCUGCUAUCGCGUGC
Molecule: long non-coding RNA, 298 nt
Filed under: Hordeum vulgare
Lineage: Eukaryota; Viridiplantae; Streptophyta; Magnoliopsida; Poales; Poaceae
Description: long non-coding RNA (HVUL_LNC015255)
Source: RNAcentral